Molecule: long non-coding RNA, 424 nt
Organism: Oncorhynchus keta (chum salmon)
Lineage: Eukaryota; Metazoa; Chordata; Actinopteri; Salmoniformes; Salmonidae
Exons: 3
Source: RefSeq, a predicted model, not a curated record
AACAGGUGAAUAACAGGUGAAUAACAGGUGACUAACAGGUGACUAACAGGUGACUAACAGGUUACUAACAGGUGAAUAACAGGUGACUAACAGGUGAAUAACAGGUGAAUAACAGGUGAAUAACAGGUGACCAACAGGUAAAUAACAGGUUACGAACAGGUGAAUAAGAGGUGACUAACAGGUGGAUAACAGGUGACUAACAGGUGACAAACAGGUGACAAACAGGUGACAAACAGGUGACAAACAGGUGACUAACAGGUGAAUAAGAGGUGAAUAAGAGGUGACUAACAGGUGAAUAAGAGGUGACUAACAGGUGAAUAAGAGGUGACUAACAGGUGAAUAAGAGGUGAAUAACAGGUUACGAACAGGUGAAUAACAGGUGAAUAACAGGUGAAUAACAGGUGACUAACAGGUGACAAACAGG